ACGGCUCAGUAACACGUGGACAACCUACCCUGAGGUCGGGGAUAAACCCGGGAAACUGGGUAUAAUACCCGAUAGAUCUAGAUCGCUGGAAUGCUUUUAGGUCUAAAGUUCCGACGCCUCAGGAUGGGUCUGCGGCCUAUCAGGGUAGUAGUGGGUGUAAAGUACCUACUAGCCUACGACGGGUACGGGUUGUGAGAGCAAGAGCCCGGAGAUGGAUUCUGAGACACGAAUCCAGGCCCUACGGGGUGCAGCAGGCGCGAAACCUUUACAAUGCUGGCGACAGCGAUAAGGGGACCUCGAGUGCUACGAUACAAUCGUGGCUGUCUAGUUGCCUAAAAAGCAAUUGAUAGCAAGGGCCGGGCAAGACCGGUGCCAGCCGCCGCGGUAACACCGGCGGCUCGAGUGGUAACCGCUAUUAUUGGGUCUAAAGGGUCUGUAGCCGGCUUAGUUAGUCUCUUGAGAAAUCUGGCCGCUCAACGGUCAGGCGUUCAGGGGAUACUGCUAAAGCUCGAGACCGGGAGAGGUGAGAGGUACUUCAGGGGUAGGGGUGAAAUCUUGUAAUCCUUGAAGGACCACCAGUGGCGAAGGCGUCUCACCAGAACGGAUCUGACGGCAAGGGACGAAAGCUAGGGGCACGAACCGGAUUAGAUACCCGGGUAGUCCUAGCCGUAAACGAUACUCGCUAGGUGUCGGCCACGGUGCGACCGUGGUCGGUGCCGUAGGGAAGCCGUGAAGCGAGCCACCUGGGAAGUACGGCCGCAAGGCUGAAACUUAAAGGAAUUGGCGGGGGAGACA
Molecule: ribosomal RNA, 795 nt
Filed under: uncultured archaeon
Lineage: Archaea
Description: bacterial SSU rRNA
Rfam family: Archaeal small subunit ribosomal RNA
Source: RNAcentral